This 466-nucleotide long non-coding RNA is filed under the name Zonotrichia albicollis (white-throated sparrow). Its description in RNAcentral is "lncRNA (ENSZALG00000008537.1)". The record is from RNAcentral. Lineage: Eukaryota; Metazoa; Chordata; Aves; Passeriformes; Passerellidae.
UUUGGGGGAUCAGGAGCUGUUUUUGGGGAGCUGUUUUGAGGACCUGUUUUGGGAGAUCAGGAGCUGAUUUUGGGGGGAUCAGGAGCAGUUUUUGAGGAGCUAUUUUGAGGGAUCAUGAGCUGGUUUUGGGGAUCAGGAGCCAUUUUUGAGGGAUCAGGACCUGGUUUUGGGUACCUGUUUGGAGGAGCUGUUUCUGGGGGAUCAGGGCCUAUUUUGAGGAGCUAUUUUGAGGAAUCAGGAGCUCUUUUGUGGGAGCUGUUUUGGGGAAUCAGGAGCUGGUUUUGGGGACCUGAUUUUGAGGAUCUGGACCUGUUUUGGGGGAGCUGUUUGUGAUGAUCAAGACCUGUUUUGAGGAGCUGUUUUGAGGAAUCAGGAGCUGGUUUGGGGGAUCAGGAGCUGUUUUUGGGGAGCUGUUUUGAGGACCUGUUUUGGGAGAUCAGGAGCUGAUUUUGGGGGGAUCAGGAGC